Molecule: ribosomal RNA, 467 nt
Filed under: uncultured Alphaproteobacteria bacterium
Lineage: Bacteria; Pseudomonadati; Pseudomonadota; Alphaproteobacteria
Description: bacterial SSU rRNA
Rfam family: Bacterial small subunit ribosomal RNA
Source: RNAcentral
GAGUUUGAUCGUGGCUCAGAACGAACGCUGGCGGCAGGCUUAACACAUGCAAGUCGAACGCCCCGCAAGGGGAGUGGCAGACGGGUGAGUAACGCGUGGGAACCUACCUUUCGGUACGGAAUAACUCGGGGAAACUCGUGCUAAUACCGUAUAUUCCGGUAACGGGAAAGAUUUAUCGCCGAAAGACGGGCCCGCGUUAGAUUAGCUAGUUGGUGGGGUAAUGGCCUACCAAGGCGACGAUCUAUAGCUGGUCUGAGAGGAUGAUCAGCCACACUGGGACUGAGACACGGCCCAGACUCCUACGGGAGGCAGCAGUGGGGAAUCUUGGACAAUGGGGGAAACCCUGAUCCAGCCAUGCCGCGUGAGUGAUGACGGCCUUAGGGUUGUAAAGCUCUUUCACGCAUGAUGAUGAUGACGGUAAUGCGAGAAGAAGCCCCGGCUAACUUCGUGCCAGCAGCCGCCGCCGU